This 563-nucleotide ribosomal RNA is filed under the name uncultured bacterium. RNAcentral's name for it is "partial 16S ribosomal RNA". It matches the Rfam family "Bacterial small subunit ribosomal RNA", at positions 355 to 1375 of the family's 1533-position model. The record is from RNAcentral.
UGGGGAAUAUUGCACAAUGGGCGAAAGCCUGAUGCAGCAACGCCGCGUGAGUGAUGAAGGCCUUCGGGUUGUAAAGCUCUGUCUUUUGGGACGAUAAUGACGGUACCAAAGGAGGAAGCCACGGCUAACUACGUGCCAGCAGCCGCGGUAAUACGUAGGUGGCAAGCGUUGUCCGGAUUUACUGGGCGUAAAGGAUGCGUAGGCGGAUUUUUAAGUGAGAUGUGAAAACCCUAAGCUUAACUUGGGGACUGCAUUUCAUACUGGAAAUCUAGAGUGCGGGAGAGGAGAAUGGAAUUCCUAGUGUAGCGGUGAAAUGCGUAGAGAUUAGGAAGAACACCAGUGGCGAAGGCGAUUCUCUGGACCGUAACUGACGCUGAGGCAUGAAAGCGUGGGUAGCAAACAGGAUUAGAUACCCUGGUAGUCCACGCCGUAAACGAUGAGUACUAGGUGUAGGAGGUAUCGACCCCUUCUGUGCCGCAGUUAACACAAUAAGUACUCCGCCUGGGAAGUACGAUCGCAAGAUUAAAACUCAAAUGAAUUGACGGGGUCAUAGCUGUUUUCCU